RNAcentral lists this unclassified non-coding RNA (380 nucleotides) under uncultured Gammaproteobacteria bacterium. RNAcentral describes it as "contains 16S-23S intergenic spacer region". Lineage: Bacteria; Pseudomonadati; Pseudomonadota; Gammaproteobacteria. The record is from RNAcentral.
UCCGUGUUAUCCACGGCAGUCUCCCAUGAGUUCCCGCCAUUACGCGCUGGCAACAUAGGAUAAGGGUUGCGCUCGUUGCGGGACUUAACCCAACAUCUCACGACACGAGCUGACGACAGCCAUGCAGCACCUGUGUUACCGCUCCCUUUCGGGCACACCCACCUCUCAGCGGGCUUCGGUACAUGUCAAGGGUAGGUAAGGUUUUUCGCGUUGCGUCGAAUUAAUCCACAUCAUCCACCGCUUGUGCGGGUCCCCGUCAAUUCCUUUGAGUUUUAAUCUUGCGACCGUACUCCCCAGGCGGAUGACUUAACGCGUUAGCUGCGCCACCGAAGCUCUAAGAGCCCCGACAGCUAGUUAUCAUCGUUUACGGCGUGGACUAC